Molecule: ribosomal RNA, 333 nt
Filed under: Triticum aestivum (bread wheat)
Lineage: Eukaryota; Viridiplantae; Streptophyta; Magnoliopsida; Poales; Poaceae
Description: partial small subunit ribosomal RNA
Source: RNAcentral
AUGCACCAUCUCCUUGUCGGCUGUUCUUUCUCUCGCCAAGUUUGGCACGAGAUCCUCGGCUGGGCAUGUGUGCCCAUCGGCCUCCCCGACCCUAACACGUCUUUUCAGCUCUGGUGGAGAUCCUCGCUCAACCUUGCGCCGGCAUCCAUGCACAAAGGUCUAUCCUCCCUCAUCAUCCUAUCGGCUUGGUGGAUUUGGAAGCACCGCAACGCUUGCAUUUUUUAUGGAGCUGCACCAUCGAUUACCUUCACCUCCGACACCAUCAAGGACGAGGCGCACCUCUGGGCCAGGGCGGGCGCUACCGGUCUACAAAACAUUAUCCUCAGCGCUUAG